ACGUUCUUGUGUUAUUUGCUGGAUGUUUUGAAGUCCAGCGAUUGUCAGACAGAACGGAAACUAAAAUGCUAACUAAUCACUCCAUGAUAAUGCGUCUAAAUUAGCCAGGACUGCUUUAUUACUAAGUGUUAGCAACACCA
Small nucleolar RNA from Drosophila eugracilis, 140 nucleotides. RefSeq annotates it as small nucleolar RNA psi18S-1377. NCBI's taxonomy places the organism in Eukaryota, Metazoa, Arthropoda, Insecta, Diptera, Drosophilidae. The transcript has a single exon. The record is from RefSeq and is a predicted model, not a curated record.